This 631-nucleotide ribosomal RNA is filed under the name uncultured bacterium. RNAcentral's name for it is "bacterial SSU rRNA". It matches the Rfam family "Bacterial small subunit ribosomal RNA", at positions 232 to 873 of the family's 1533-position model. The record is from RNAcentral.
CGCGGCCUAUCAGCUUGUUGGUGAGGUAAUGGCUCACCAAGGCGACGACGGGUAGCCGGCCUGAGAGGGCGACCGGCCACACUGGGACUGAGACACGGCCCAGACUCCUACGGGAGGCAGCAGUGGGGAAUAUUGCACAAUGGGCGAAAGCCUGAUGCAGCGACGCCGCGUGAGGGAUGACGGCCUUCGGGUUGUAAACCUCUUUCAGCAGGGAAGAAGCGAAAGUGACGGUACCUGCAGAAGAAGCGCCGGCUAACUACGUGCCAGCAGCCGCGGUAAUACGUAGGGCGCAAGCGUUGUCCGGAAUUAUUGGGCGUAAAGAGCUCGUAGGCGGUCUGUCGCGUCGGAUGUGAAAGCCCGGGGCUUAACCCCGGGUCUGCAUUCGAUACGGGCAGACUAGAGUGUGGUAGGGGAGAUCGGAAUUCCUGGUGUAGCGGUGAAAUGCGCAGAUAUCAGGAGGAACACCGGUGGCGAAGGCGGAUCUCUGGGCCAUUACUGACGCUGAGGAGCGAAAGCGUGGGGAGCGAACAGGAUUGGAUACCCUGGUAGUCCACGCCGUAAACGGUGGGAACUAGGUGUUGGCGACAUUCCACGUCGUCGGUGCCGCAGCUAACGCAUUAAGUUCCCCGCC